CCUACGGGAGGCAGCAGUGAGGAAUAUUGGUCAAUGGACGAGAGCCUGAACCAGCCAAGUAGCGUGAAGGAUGACUGCCCUAUGGGUUGUAAACUUCUUUUAUAAAGGAAUAAAACGAGGCACGUGUGCCUGUUUGACUGUACUUGAUGAAUAAGGAUCGGCUAACUCCGUGCCAGCAGCCGCGGUAAUACGGAGGAUUCGAGCGUUAUCCGUAUUUAUUGGGUUUAAAGGGAGCGUAGAUGGGUUGUUAAGUCAGUUGUGAAAGUUUGCGGCUCAACCGUAAAAUUGCAAUUGAUACUGGCUGUCUUGAGUACAGUUGAGGUAGGCGGAAUUCGUGGUGUAGCGGUGAAAUGCUUAGAUAUCACGAAGAACCCCGAUUGCGAAGGCAGCUUACUAAACUGUGACUGACAUUGAUGCUCGAAAGUGUGGGUAUCAAACAGGAUUAGAUACCCGUGUAGUC
This 460-nucleotide ribosomal RNA is filed under the name uncultured bacterium. RNAcentral's name for it is "partial 16S ribosomal RNA". It matches the Rfam family "Bacterial small subunit ribosomal RNA", at positions 338 to 795 of the family's 1533-position model. The record is from RNAcentral.